CAGCAGCCGCGGGAAUACGUAGGGUGCAAGCGUUAAUCGGAAUUACUGGGCGUAAAGCGUGCGCAGGCGGUUUGUUAAGACAGAUGUGAAAUCCCCGGGCUCAACCUGGGAACUGCAUUUGUGACUGGCAAGCUAGAGUCUGGCAGAGGGGGGUGGAAUUCCGCGUGUAGCAGUGAAAUGCGUAGAUAUGCGGAGGAACACCGAUGGCGAAGGCAGCCCCCUGGGCCAACACUGACGCUCAUGCACGAAAGCGUGGGGAGCAAACAGGAUUAGAGACCCCCGUAGUCCCUGUCUCUUAUAC
Molecule: ribosomal RNA, 301 nt
Filed under: uncultured bacterium
Lineage: Bacteria
Description: partial 16S ribosomal RNA
Rfam family: Bacterial small subunit ribosomal RNA
Source: RNAcentral